UGAUGUAAACAAAAAAAUAAUCCACAGCUGGAUGACAGGCUUGUAUUUCUGGCAAACAGCAUGUAAAUAAAUUGUGCACACUGAAGAAAACUGACUAUAUACAGUUUGCUCUUCUUUGGAGUUUCAAAAUUAACUUAUAUCAUUAAUAUUUAACAAUAUUCCAUGAUUUUAAAAUAAUUAAAAAUAAGUAAAUAAACAAUCAGCGAUGUUAAACGCAAUUUUGGAAUAACUAUCAGCUUGACCUAUAGUGGGUCUGCAUGUUGUGGUCCUGCCUGCAGUAGCAAUGUCCCAUGCAGCAAAAAAGGAGGGAGCUGUAACUCAAGAACAGGGGUGGGUAGACAGUUACUGUGCUUUCCAUUUCCUAUAGCUGGCAGAGGAAUUCAAGUACCAGCUGUCAAAACACAGGGUAGUUUCUAUAGUGAUUAGGGGGAUAUUGUGUGAUAUAAUUACUCAGCAAUUGCACGCUCAGCUGCCUCUUCUGUGCUAGUAACUGCCCUAGGUGGUUUGCGACACUGUCAACUCCGGAUCCAUCAAUGCUUAUCUGCAUCAAGCUGGAAAGAAUGAUUCUAAAUGAAAACACAUUUAAUCUGCUUCUGUUCUACAGCACAUGUAGAUUUUAACUGGUACCUGAAUAAAGACGGUUGUGGUGCAGUGUCUCUGCCUCCCGACAGCGAAACGAACAGCACCUUGCUCAACUCAGCGGAAAACCUUAAUAUUGAUCUGGACGCAGUCAGUGUAAAGAAUUACCACCUGAUCACCUUUGCUGGAUUAAGCAUUCUCGGACUGCUGGAAAUUGUUGUCAGUUUACUGCAGAUCAUUGCAGGAGCAUUUGGUUGUCUCUGAAGCAGUUCAAAGCGGUCAACCCAUAUAACCAGAAUUGAAUCUCUGACUUAGUAUUAAAUACAUUGUUGGUAAAAUGUGCCUUAAUUAUAAUGCAUCUCAUAACAGUGUUUUUAACCUUUAAAAUGACAGGUGCUUUAAGGCACAACCUCUUUACUUAAUUACUUAAGAUUAAAAAAACAAAGCAUUUAAAAAGCUGUCACUAUACCAAAUCUUAGAUGUGCAAGACAUUUUUAUCUGUAAAUUAUUUUGUUGCUAUUAUUGGUACUAAACUGUGUUUAUUUUAUAGUAUGCUAUUCUGGUGUAUUUGCUAAAUGAACAAAUA
Long non-coding RNA from Polyodon spathula (Mississippi paddlefish), 1165 nucleotides. RefSeq lists it as uncharacterized. The transcript is spliced from 3 exons. Lineage: Eukaryota; Metazoa; Chordata; Actinopteri; Acipenseriformes; Polyodontidae. The record is from RefSeq and is a predicted model, not a curated record.